Junco hyemalis (dark-eyed junco) is the source of this 2674-nucleotide long non-coding RNA. NCBI's taxonomy places the organism in Eukaryota, Metazoa, Chordata, Aves, Passeriformes, Passerellidae. The record is from Ensembl.
GUUCCAGCAGCACAUUAUGUCUGUGGGUAGCAGAACAGCUCGAGCACACCCAUCCCUUUCCAUGGCCCCCAGCACGGCUGUGGUAGGAUGAGCCCUGCCCUGCUCCUGCUGCUGUCCCUGGCCAGCUGCUCCCUGCUCCAGGGGACGCUACUGAGGCCACGGCACGUCAGGCUGGAGGCACAGAACUUCCACGUCUUGCUGCGCUGGGAGCCAGACCCCAGCUCACCCAGCUCUGCCACCUAUGAGGUGGAGUGGAGGAACAGAACCUCAAACUGGACCAAGGCAGGUGCCUAUGGGGGGAACUGCAGAAACUCCUGUGUGUGUGAGCUGUAUUUUGACAGGAUUCAUGAUAUCUACUGGGCACGGGUGAGAGUGGUGGCCGGAGGUGAGCGGUCCGAGUGGGCCAUUUCCAGCGAGCUGCAGCUGUACAGAGACACAAUUGUUGGCCCUCCCAAGCUGUCUUGGCUGCUCCAGGACCAAAUCCUCAGCGUAAACAUCAUCACACCACCCACUCCCUACCAGAGAAGGACUGGUUCCUACAAGCCAGUCAACCGAGUGCUGCUGAAGCUGUGGUACUGGCUGCACCUGUACGAGGGGGACCUGCUUGUCCAACAGGUGCCCUGCAAACAGAGCAGUGAGAAAGUGCCUUGCACCUUUGGGCACCUGAAGCCCAGCACACAGUACUGUGUCCGGACGGUGGCUGCAGACAUUGCCAGGGAGCGGAGCCAGGAGGCUGAGCAGUGCCUGGUGACUCCAGCAGCCCCCUCAGGCUUUCCAUGGGUCUCUGCUGUGCUGAGUGCCUUCUUCCUGCUGCUGCCACUGAGUGUGGCCGGGAUGUGCUUCGUGCAGCUGCAUGUCUUUCCCAGUCCUCAGGAGAUGUGCCUCCCAAAAGCACUGGCUCUCCAGAACAGCGAGCUGAAUGUGGCCAUGCAGGUGCCUCCACUGCAGCUUGAGGAGGACCCACUGGCCCUGCUCCUGCAGACUGUGCUCCCCUCCCACGGGCCAUCCACAGCUGUGCAGGCAUCAGCCACGGUCCCACGGCUCCUGCGAGGCCUUGUCCAGGAUGUGAGUGGCUACUGUGCCAACGGGUUUCGCCCAGACUGCAUUGAGGGAAGGGACCCAUCCUGCACCCACAGUCAGCUGGGGCAUGCCUUAGGUUCUCAGGUCCCCUCACAGCUGGAGAAGGAUGAGGAGGCAGGUGAUGGGGAUGAUUUGCCAGAGCAGCUGGUGCUAAUGGGACUGGCUGGACACAGCUACAUAGGUGACAGGGACAGCCAGAUACCUAAAAUGUGGCUCCCCCUGCACCUCCAGCUUUAUUCUAAAUGCCAGUGCCCAGUUCUGGGAGCAGACAGCCACCUUCCUCUGCCCGUGCCGAGCAGAAGCUGCAGCCAGGAGUGCCUGCAGGAGAGUCUGGGCACGGCUGGGCACUGGAUCCGGCUCAGCUCCGUGAGGCUCCUGCCCAGCACGGAGACGGAGGGCGGGCAGCGCCCCUGUGCUCCCCAGGCCCUGCGGGGCGGCGGGACUGACCCAGAGCUAGGGGCCAGCGCCGUGCAGCGAGGCUCCCCGGGGCAGGCCGAGCCGUGUCCGUGCCCGCUGCCCCCCUCGCCCCGCGGCCUGCGGGCAGCUCCCUUCCCCGGCUACGAGCCCCGGGCCCCGGCGGGCAGCGAGCCUUAGCGGGCCCAGCCGAGCCCAGGCCGCCUCCCGCAGCUCCCCGGCCGGAACGGCUGUCUGUCUGUGUCUGUCUGUCUGUCCGUCUGUCUGUGUCUAUCCGUCUGUCUGUCUGUGUCUGUCCGUCUGUCUGUCUGUGUCUGUCCGUCUGUCCGUCUGUCUGUGUCUAUCCGUCUGUCUGUGUCUGUCCGUCUGUCUGUCUGUGUCUGUCCGUCUGUCUGUCUGUGUCUGUCUGUCUGUCCGUCUGUCUGUGUCUAUCCGUCUAUCUGUCUGUGUCUGUCCGUCUGUCCGUCUGUCUGUCUGUGUCUGUCCGUCUGUCUGUCUGUCUGUCCCAGCCUGCUGGGGCGUGCUGCGGGUGGGACCGGGCAGGCUCCAAGGGCAGGCACAGGCCCGUUCCGGGCACGGCCGCCAAAGACGGGCUGGAUCCAGAGCUUUCCUCUGGGGAUUUGGUGCUCUUGAGAUACCUCAUAAGGAGCAUGGAGCAACGCUGAAGCCCAAACCUCUUAUCUAAAGAUCUGUCUGUAUGUGUGCAUGUAUGGUACAGUAUCUAUACUAAUGUAACACUCAUAUAUACAUAUAUAUUUGUAAAGCUCUUUCAUGAAAAAAAUGUUGGGGUUUUUACUUCUGUGGAAAUGUUGAUUCUGUGCUGGAGUUGUUUUUAAAUAUCACUAAUUUAUUCUAGAAAACUGGCUUCUCUAUUCAUUGUUUCUGUGUUACAGACCCAGCACAACCCUUCCCCGUGCAGCAGUCAGGAAAGGUACGGGGUAAACUUGGGGUUUUCCAGGCAGAAAAUUGCACCCACAAUCUCUGUCUUGCUCUCCGGUAGGAAAAGACUGUUUUUUAGCAUCAUGGGAUACAUUUAUUAUUCCUCCUGCUAGCACUGGGGUGAUUUAUGGCUGAGAAGCCCCUCCCUGCCUGUGUUUUGAGGCUUUGCCUGAAGCUGCAGAGGUCAGGGGAAACCUCCUUGUGCUGUGUCGCAAGCUGCAAUCAGCGGAGUCAAAAUGCA